RNAcentral lists this ribosomal RNA (658 nucleotides) under uncultured bacterium. RNAcentral describes it as "bacterial SSU rRNA". The stretch from base 1 to 543 matches the Rfam family "Bacterial small subunit ribosomal RNA", at positions 338 to 873 of the family's 1533-position model. The record is from RNAcentral.
CCUACGGGAGGCAGCAGUAAGGAAUAUUGGUCAAUGGAGGCAACUCUGAACCAGCCAUGCCGCGUGCAGGAUGACGGCCCUAUGGGUUGUAAACUGCUUUUGUACCAGAGAAAACCUAUCUACGUGUAGAUAGCUGAUAGUAUGGUAAGAAUAAGCAUCGGCUAACUUCGUGCCAGCAGCCGCGGUAAGACGAAGGAUGCAAGCGUUAUCCGGAUUCAUUGGGUUUAAAGGGUGCGUAGGCGGACUUGUAAGUCAGUGGUGAAAUCUCUUUGCUUAACAAAAAAACUGCCAUUGAUACUGCAGGUCUAGAGUAUAGAUGACGUUGGCGGAAUAUGACAUGUAGUGGUGAAAUACUUAGAUAUGUCAUAGAACACCGAUUGCGAAGGCAGCUAACGAAACUAUAACUGACGCUGAGGCACGAAAGUGCGGGGAUCAAACAGGAUUAGAUACCCUGGUAGUCCGCACCGUAAACGAUGAUUACUCGUUGUUGGCGAUAUGANAGUNAGCGACCGAACGACGAAAGACGAGUAAGUAAGUACCACCCGUACGGGAGGUACGGACCCGGCCGAACCGGUACGGAAACGUAACGAAAGUAAGUAAGUAGGUACGGACGGUUAGGAGGACGACGACGGACGGACGACGACGGAGGGGAGGGAGG